This 204-nucleotide ribosomal RNA is filed under the name Triticum aestivum (bread wheat). RNAcentral's name for it is "partial small subunit ribosomal RNA". Lineage: Eukaryota; Viridiplantae; Streptophyta; Magnoliopsida; Poales; Poaceae. The record is from RNAcentral.
AUGUUUCCCACGGUUUAUCGCCUCAUUGAGCUGGCAUUGCUACUACCGGUGGCGACAGCAACAGUUGAAAGGGCUUUUUCAGCAAUGAAAAUCAUCAAGACCGAGUUGCGCAGCAAGAUGUCCGAUGGCUGGCUUAAUGACUUGAUGGUGUGUUACAUUGAACAAGGGAUAUUCAAAAGUCUUGAUCUUGGUAAAAUUAAAUAA